CCCUUAGAUGCUCUGGGCCGCACGCGCGCUACACUGGUCGAUGCAACGAGUUUCUUUCCUUGGCCGACAGGCCUGGGCAAUCUUUGAACAUCGAUCGUGAUCGGGAUAGAUUCUUGUAAUUUUUGAUCUUAAACGAGGAAUUCCUAGUAAACGCAAGUCAUCAGCUUGCAUUGAUUACGUCCCUGCCCUUUGUACACACCGCCCGUCGCACCUACCGAUUGAACGUUUUAGUGAGGUAUUUGGACUGGACCUUCGGAGGUUCGCGCCUCCGUUGCUGUUCGGGAAGACUCCCAAACUUGAGCGUUUAGAGGAAGUAAAAGUCGUAACA
Molecule: ribosomal RNA, 328 nt
Filed under: uncultured eukaryote
Lineage: Eukaryota
Description: partial 18S ribosomal RNA
Rfam family: Eukaryotic small subunit ribosomal RNA
Source: RNAcentral